UGGAGGACUGUAGCUCAGUGGUAGAGUAUUUGCUUUGCAUGCAGACACACGCAGGUUCAAUUCUUGGCCUCUCCAG
Non-coding RNA from Podarcis lilfordi (Lilford's wall lizard), 76 nucleotides. NCBI's taxonomy places the organism in Eukaryota, Metazoa, Chordata, Lepidosauria, Squamata, Lacertidae. The record is from the annotation of a GenBank genome assembly.